UGCACCCAUCACCAUGAUAUGUGAAUGCAUCAUGGACAGUGUUUGCUUAGUUGAAACAAUUACAGGGAUGCAUCCGGCAGCCAGGAAGGGACUCCUAUCUCCUUUGAAUUUUAAUGUUGCUGAGAAACAGGGAGAAUGAGAUGGGGGUUUAGACCUACAAUCUAAGAAGAAAAAAAACGCAUCACAAAUUUCUUUGCAUUUUCCUGAGAAUUACUUAAAAAUCUUAACAACAAAACUUCUAAGAGAAGAAUGUGACAUUCUAUAUUUGAAAAUGGAUCAACACACCUUCUUGUGAGCAAUUUGGUGCUCCUUUACUCAUUCUGCAGGCACUGCCUUAUUCUUCACAUGGAUGACUCAUUCUCUUUCAGAACUGACAGGCCUAAAUGGGAUACAAGCAGCAACAAUGCUACGUUUAUCAAAUGUCAUCUUAUAAAGCGGCAAAGCAGCAGUAACAGUCUUACACAGAGGGUAGGUUUACCUACGCAGCAUGAAUAAUUUGGGACUCUGCUUACAGUGAUGUGAACAGUUGAUGUGCACACUAAGUCCACUCUUUCAGGUUUUACUUCUCAUUUUUACUGCUACAGAGAUGGAAAAUAAAUCUGAAUAGAAGAGAAGUUCAGUCACCAGCUUCGCUGCAAUAACAGACCUGAUAGAAUUAAAGUGUGGGGGGGAAAUGCCCUUUGUACCGAGGUUGUGGAGUGCAAGUAUCUCUAUAAUCAGACAGAUUGCCUCUUUUGUGAAGUUAUAAUUCAAUUAAAAGAAAAGGAAUACUAGUGGCACCUUAGAGACUAACCAAUUUAUUUGAGCAUAAGCUUUCGUGAGGUACAGCUCACUUCAUCGGAUGCAUCCGAUGAAGUGAGCUGUAGCUCACGAAAGCUUAUGCUCAAAUAAAUUGGUUAGUCUCUAAGGUGCCACUAGUACUCCUUUUCUUUUUGCAAAUACAGACUAACAUGGCUGCUACUCUGAAACCUGUCAUAAUUCAAUUGCAGCCUUUUCUGUAGAACAAUUUUUGACUUCUCUCUCUUUUUAUGACACUUCAGAAAUGACUAUCCUUAUAAAGCUGGAUUAUUUAGCGAACCAGACAGGAGUUUGGUGUACUCUGUUGCAGUACUUUCUUGAGUCAUUUUCUGCAGUACAGUGUGCCCUUUGAAUUGUGAGGUCUUGUGAGCGGGAUCUAAUUUUUUCAGUGUGUCUACUCAUUUUGAGUUUCUCAAUUUUUGACUUCCCUUGAAGCCAGUUAGUGCUGUGGGUGCUCAGCGUCUCUGAAAAUAGGGUCUUAAAUUAUUCAAGUUAGGCACCCAAAACUUGAGUAACUUCAAAUUAGUGGACACUUUUGAAAAUUUUUGCCUCAAUGACUGUUUUUUUCAGUAGAUUUCCUAUGAUAUCUCAGAUAGCAGAAAAUCAAAUGAAAGUUUUCAUUAUAUUGAUCCAUACGCAUUGAUAAAAUGACAUGAUUUUGCCUCAGCUGUCUUGCCGUUAAAAAGUUAUUUCUGCAUAGUCUGUUGAUAUAGAUGCAUAGCUGAUGCAUAGCCUACUGGCCAAGAGAACAGCUAUUAUUCAGUAUUCUCUGUAUCCUCUCCAGUCAGCAUCCUUAUGAUUCUUUAAUCCACAAAUGGAAACUUUCAGACUCUUAUAGUAUGGUGACUUCUACAUCUUAGUAUAUAAACAAAAUUGGUUUGAUUCUCAGCCUUAACAUUCUUCUGCUAUAAAUCUUGACUAAUCUUUGUACAGUCAAAUAUAGAGAGGUAUAACUUCUGGCUAUUCAGAAGACAGCAGGAUAUGAAAAGCAGUAUAAUUAAUACUCUGCAGGUUUAUUAUUAUGGUUAUGCAUACUGUUCAAUUGUUCCACUGAUGGAUUUUCUUUUAGAGGUUUUCAUAACGCAAUGGUUAUAAAUUAAGGCAAGUCAUAUAAAGGCAGCUGUUUAUCCUCUAUAGCUCUUUAUACAAUGUUAUAGAAGAACUUCACUGUGUAGUAUUUUGCCAAGUGUUAAUUUCAACUUGAAAUACAGUUUUCUUUGCAUUUUCUUAUCACAUCCAAAACUGGCAUUUUAUCCCAGUUUAGAACAGUUUUAAACACAUUUUGUAGAGAAACUGAGUAUUUUAGCACUAGAUGCAUUAUUUUAUUCUGCUACAAAUGAAAAAUGAUAGGCAGUUAGCUGAAUUUAUUUCAUGGAUAUAGGUGUCAUAAAUCUUAUAAGGAAUAAAAGUGGAAUGACACUUCAUGAUAAAAUCUGAAAAAAUCCACCAAUAAAAUUAUCUAUCAACAAAGGUGGAUUUAAAAGUUAAGGGUCCAAUCCUGCUCCUAAUGAAGUCAAUGCAAUUUUUGCUUUAAUGGGAGCAGAAAUGAUCCUCUUGUCCUGUACAUUUAGAAGUGACAACUGAAGUGUAUCAGCUAAUCUCGUCCGUUUUGGGGGCUCAUUUAAACAAAAUAAUUAUACGUGUCUUAAUUAUGAAUUACCUCAGUAUGUGGUUUCUAGUCUGAUAAAUUCAGCUAAUGGGUAGCAAGACAUAGAGCAAGACAUCUUUUCCAUAGACUCCUGAGUCCUAAGACAAAGUGAACAAUAGAUAUAGAAAAAACAUUCUAAGGGGCAUAGGCCCAGAUCCUCAAAGGGAUUUAGGUGUCUAACUCCCAUUGGAUUUCAAGGGAGCUAUGACAGUUUAUACCAGCUCAGGAUGUGGUGCCAAUGUUGUUGAUCCUGGCCUGAGGAAGCUGCUGGCAGGGUGUUUUCUGUGAGGACUCCCUCCCUUUGGAUUUUACUCCUUCUUUGGUUGAAGGUUCAGAAUGUGCUGCAAAGCCCAUCUAUUUAUACAGGCUUGGGGACAGAGCCCAAACAGCUGCGUUGCAACAGCAGAGUCUAGGAGGAGGGGUUGGAGUAUUUUCUUAAGUAUUGGCUUCUUUCAGGAGUUCUUUUUUUGUCAUGUAGCACUAUAUUCUUGUAUUAAUUGAUCUGUGUUUUUUUUAAACCUGUGAGGUGUUGUGAUAGGUGUUAUUAAAUACAUCAGAAGGAAUAAAUAAACUGCAAAGUUUUGUGCAUGUAUCACACCAAAACCAAAAUAAAUACAUAGUUGUACAUGCUCAAAAUUAUAUAGAACAUAAACUGCAUAUGAUAAUGAUGGCGACAGCAGCUGGGUUUUGUUGUGUCAAAAUACUGUGUUGAACAAACUAAAGGAAGAUGAAUUUGUUAUUCAAAGAGCCAGGUGCUCUGAGCUGGCAGCCCCUGAGUGGCUGAGAGGCUCUAUGGCUGAGCAGGUAUAAGUGGGAGCAGCUGUCCUUAAUGGUUACUUCCCACUCUGCUUUUCAUUGUGAUUUUCAGCACCUGCGCAGUGCCAGUGCUCUCCCUGUGUCUCUGCUUAUGCUGUCUAGUGGGCAGACACUCACAAAUGAGGCUGUCUGUGCUGUUUGGCAGGUGAAAAUGAGGGCUGUAAAUAUGAGCACUGGCCCACUAAGAAACAGACUCUCACUAGCAGGCAAGCCAAGACUAGGCAGUUUUUAGAAACAAAGGGCCAAAUGUUGCCCUGAGUUCCACAUGGUCUAUGUUCUUCUUCCCCCAUCUCACUCUUACUCAGCACAAUCUUUUCCUAGGUCUGAUCUUGUCUAGGAAAAAAAUACACUUGCGCUAACAUAUGUGAGAUAUGAAAUAUCCUUUUCUUUUGGAGGCUUUAAUAGAAGUUUUCUUCUUCUCACCAUUUAAGCCCAAAUUUCUUUCCUUCAGGAGAAAUUAAUCAUCCAGCACCUCUGACUGGGCUGUAGACUGCCUGUGUGUGAGUUGCAGCAAUCUAAAGCUAGCACCAAUUCUCCUGGCAGAAUGCAUACAGGCAGAAAUAUAUAUUCCCUGUAAACUGAAUUGGUAGGGAGGUUAUUUUUUCUCAUUCUUUGUUCUUAUUCUAUAAUUGUUAUUCUGUGUUAACAUUUUCUAUUCCCUUUGAACAUCUGUAAUUUUGCCUCUCCCAACCCAUUACCCACACACUGUAACCUUUUAAUUGUGCAAUAAUUACAGUUUCUGUACAGUGACACCUUCUGGCAAAUACUCUUUUCAAUGUGGGUUCUUCAGGGAGGAUAUUCCAUCAAUGGAAACAUGUCCAGUGGGGCACUCUUGGGACUUGCAGUGAGCCAACAUAAUAUGAUAUUGUGAAAUAAUGUUGUAGUUUGGGCCACGAUAUGGCCCAGUCUUUCUUCAGUGGACUUCUUCAAUAUACAUUUCAGCUAUCAGUAUAAGUUUAUGCUUACAGUCUGAAGAAGGAGAGUAGGGGGAAAUUAAACAGUUUUCUAUGCAUAUUUUUGGAAAUGUAAACAGAUUUUGGCAGAAAUUUGUUUAACGUUUCCAUCCCACAUCUCCAACUUGUCCAGCGGAAAAAAAAGCCCAAGAUCUGGCCAAUAUAAGCCUCAUAAAUCUGGUCCCGAAGGAAGUUUUUUAAAUGAAAAACCUCUCGGGAAUGAUCUCAUGAUCCGCAUCCUCCCAUCCUGUCUAGAUUGUGAUUGGUCACCAAUUAGCAGGAUCUAAUUAUUAUUAAUGUAACAGUUGUGCUCAAAGACCACAACAAGAAUUAGAGACCUAUGGUACUGUAAAAAUGAUCUUGUAAGAAAGAGCCCCUUCUUGAUAAAUGUACAGUCUGUGACAAAGCUAUGUCCUUGCCUCCAUGGGUCCCGCGUUUCUUGGCGGAUUUCGCUAGCCUCAGAGGCUCACUGUGACCCUCCACGUAACCCUUCUUUCUCUAGAGACAAGGGUCACAGUCUACUGAGCCAUUUUCAUCAUAAGCCAGCAAGGGAGGUGAGGAGAAAUUAUCCUUCCUUGCACAUCUCUGUUGUCUCCCAGUCUCAGUGAUUAAUCAGGGGGCAAAGGUGAGGGGGGAGCCCGGGCCCACUCUCUACUCCAGGCUCCAGCCCAGGGACCCUAAUAGCAUCAGCUAUGGUAGCUGACCUUUUAGAAACAUUACAUGUACAAUUCCCUGGGCUACUUCCCCCACAGCAGCCCUCACUUCCUCAAGCUCCACUUCACCCUUACCUCAGGGCCUCCUUCCUUGUGCCUGAUAUGGUGUGUACUACUCAGUCUCUCCAACAGCACAACUUCCUUCUACAGCUCCUGACAUGCACACCCACCUGGCUGGGAUGCUUUUAACUAGUUUCAGCCAGCCCCUGAUUGGCUUCAGGUGUCCCAAUCAACCUAGCAUUCUCCCUGCCUUCUGAAAAGUUCUUAAUUGGCCCCAGGUGUCUUAAUCGACCUGGAGCAGCUGCCAUUUCACUUAACCUGGUACCAGGGAUUUGUUUAGCCUGGAGCUAAUAUAUCUAUCUCCCACAACUUUUCUAUAGCCAUCUCGCCUUGCCCCAUCACAAGUCUAAGGCCCCAGUGCCAUAUAAUUAAAUUUAUGAACUUAGUCCCAUUGAAGUCAAAGGAACUACUCAGAGUGCGUAAAGUUAAUCACAUGUGUAAGUCUUUGCAUGAUCAGGGCCUAAUUUAAGACAAGAUACAUCAUGUGAGUGUAACAAACAAUGAAAGAAGAUGUCUGUGGGAGGAAGAAGGAUGAGAGUAACAGCAGUAAAGUCACAUGGAUACACUGAUCCACUGUUGCACAGCUUGAUAGUUCCAAACAUCUGACUGUUGUAAAAAUAAACAAAUGAAAUACUGCGGCAGCACCAAGCUAUCAGCUGUUAAUUUGCCAAUUUCUUAUACAUGUAGCAGCAGAAGUGGGAUUUGAGAUGGGAUUUGAAGGGAGGAAGGGGAAGGGCAUUCCAAGUACACAGUAAAGUGUUCUACAGCAUCCUUCCAGCCUGGGAAGAAGGUGCAUUGCUCAGUAACUGUCACAACUGUUCAAAGCCUCACUACUGUAAACUUAAUUCUACUACUGGGAAACAUAAGAGACCCUUUCUCCCAUUUGAGCAUUUUUUAAAGUUUGAAUUGGGGUAGGGUCUGGUCACUGCUAAGACAAAAAAGCAUUUUUGGAUUGUCAAGAAGUGCUUCUCGGUUAUUAAAAAGUCGAGAGUCAGAGUGUGACCGUGAGGUCUGAAAUAGCCUGAGACAAUUGUACAAAAUACUUGAUGUUGUGCAGAGCCUUUUGUUUCCAGAAUCAUUCUUAUAAAGGUUGCCAUUAGAACCAGUGCUAAUUGCUAUAGAUAACAGACACACGCAGCAUGGGAACAGUUAAUCAAACUUCCUUUACGAUUUUUCUAGUAGGUAUGAUAUUACCUUUUCUAACAAUAUACUCUAUUCUAAGUAUAAUGAUACCUGUUCAAACUGGUAACAUGUUACUUGGUACUGACAACGUACAACAAAACACAAAAGUUAACUGCAUCCAUUGUAUCUCGGUACGUGAGAAUUCCUGUAUUAAUUACACAGAAGUAUAGAUGAUUUAACUACUAGUGAGCCACAACUUCAAAGCAUUGUCUAUACAGCUGCUUUUUAGAGUGCUAGCAUGAGCCCUGCUAACCUGAGUCUUUUGGCCUAGGUUGGGAUGCUUGCUUCUGUGGGCUGCGCAGACAUACCCACAGAAACAGAGGGAGCCAGACCGGAACAGGAAGCGUGAGGCAGGAGAAAGCAAGGUCACACAAGCUGGGAAAGGGACUCCAUGAGAAAGAGACAACUCAGCAUGCAAUAGCCUGCAUGAGGCAGGGGACACUGAUGAUGCCUUAGGACUCCCAAGGGAAGGGUGAUCUAGAAGGUGGCAUUGCAGUUAAGAUAUUUGUUGUUUUAUAUGAUCUGUACUCUCCUGUGCUUUACGUGGUUAAGUUAAAGAGCAUUAAGGUGUUAAACUGUGGGCAAAGUGUCUUAAACACUUCACAACUGCUGCAUGCAAAGGAAGUUAAAUUGUACCCCAGAAGCUUCACACCUUUCGGGUGGAGAUCUGGGAAGGGUAUGUUUUAACUGUGGGGGAGACUGAAGGUCAGCCCUGUGCCCAGUGGGGAUAGGAGCUGGACAGUGGGUUCCAGCUCAGAAGGGAGUGUAAGACUGCAGGCCUGCACUCUGUGCUUAGGGAGCCCAAGAUUGGGGAAGUAACUGGACUUUGUUCAGGCUUAAGAAACUUAAAAGAGCUGGGAAUCCAGGGACACAGAGGCUUGAAUUCCCCUCAGAGCAGUCUGAUGGGUUGCCAGAAGGGAGCGCCCUGCCAGAUCUGUGAUAGAAAAUGACUACCAGCAGCACCUUGAAGUCCCCAGAAAGGAAUCACAAGCUGUUUGACUUUUCCCUACUUUCCCCAAAAAGCCUUGUAAAAUAUUGGGAGAAGAAGACUGAUGCGUAGCGGAAGAGAAGACGUAGGGCUUCCUUCGUCUGGAAAGUAGUGCUGUGCAGUGGAAGGACCUUGGACUAGGAAUAAGAAGGCAUGGGUUCAAUUCUUGAUCUGUAACUGACCUGCGUGACUUUGGACAGGUCACUUCACCUUCCGUGCCUCUGUUUCCCCAGUGAAAAUGAUGAUUAUUUUUCCUUCUUUGUAAAUCACAGAGAUCUAUGGAAGUUAAGUGCUAUAUAGAAGCUAAGAAUUAUCUCCUUCCUCUGGAAUCCAUAUCAGAAUUUUUUCAAAAUUUAAUGAAAAGUUUCAUUUUAAUGUUGAAUGGAUGAAAGUGAAAGUUGGAAUAUGGCAUUCCAUAUUUUUGUUCAAGUUUGCCCACCCCUUAUUGAAAUCACAGAGCAGUGAAUCUGAAAUAUAAUGUUCCAUGCUACUGCUUUUUCUGUUUUUCUUUUUAUAAAGGGAAUGCUUGAGCAAACUUGGGGAAAUGCACUUAUAGUACUAACUCCAAUACUUUUCUCAUACCUAUUAGAUUUAAAAAUAAUAUUCAUUUUCUUUCUGCUUAACAACAAAGAGAUCAAUUCUUUUCAAAGAACAGACAUGUUCAGUCUAUCAGUUUUAUCUAUAAUACUUUAAAAGCAGUUUAUAAUGAGCAUUCUGAUUUGGUUCUUAGUGUCAACCGAAGUGUCCAGAAAAUACCUUCUAUAAUAAAUGAAAACAAUUAAACCGAGUACUAAAAUGUUAUGUGAACCUUUGACUCUGAGAAAAAUGCAGUCAAAAUGACUAAUACAUUGGGCUUUUGUAUUUGCAUUAUAUAACAAAUAAUCUGUGCCAGGAUGAGGGAGUGAUCUGCCCUUGCUAUGUUGUUUUGUUUUGCAAAGUAUAACUUUUAAAGAUUUAUUAGACAGUUUGUUUAAGCCAAUUGUAGGGUUUUUUUUAAAAGAUUUUGCAGCUUGCUUUGUUCUCAAAAGUGUCAGCAGUUAUAAGUAAAAAAUAUAUUCAACUUGAUGUCUGAGUAAUGAAUUUGAAAACUUGAUUGGGUAAUAAGAAGGAAUAAGUGAGCCCAGGUGAGUGCUAUAAAAGCUAGCAAAAGCUAGAAAGCAAGACUGCUUGGAAACUAACAAAAAUAAAACUACCAAGGGAAAUGGGAGAAAAACUAAACAGUAUGCGGUGAUGGGAUAUACCUGAUCUUUAUGGCUCCUUACAGGAGGCCCUGUGGGUCUUACUACACUCCUGUCCCAGGAAAGAAGUAGUGAAGAUGGGUUCUCCAGGCCUGCCUAGAGAGGCUGUAUGGAAGCAGCUAAUCAGAGUCCAGCAGGCUCAGAAAGAAGGAGCUGCAGAGCCUUAGCAGGGUAAAGGAAGUUCUACCAGUGAGGAAGAAGAUGGACACUUGUGAAUUGCAGUGGAGGGGGAGAGGACAAUACCACGUCUAGUAGACAGAUGGCCUGGAGCAAUUUGGCUACCUCCUCCCUACAGAUGAUGCCAGCAAGCAUGAUUAAGGUUACAGAUCUGUCACAGAGGUCACGGAUUCUGUGAUUUUUAGGAGACUGCUGUGACUUCUUGAAUAUUCCAAUAAUUCAGCCCCGGGCAGCGGGGCUUGGACUUCAACAAAUCCAGGAUUUAUUGUUUAUUGCCCACGUCUUGUCCAUGACUUGUAAUAAAAAAUACUCGUGCCAAAAUCGUAGGCUUAAGCAUGAAUCUGCUUCAUGUGUUUUGAAGUGCUCACACACA
Chelonia mydas (Green sea turtle) is the source of this 8946-nucleotide long non-coding RNA. RefSeq lists it as uncharacterized. Lineage: Eukaryota; Metazoa; Chordata; Testudines; Cheloniidae. The transcript is spliced from 4 exons. The record is from RefSeq and is a predicted model, not a curated record.